GACGAACGCUGGCGGCGUGCUUAACACAUGCAAGUCGAACGGAAAGGCCCUGCUUUUGUGGGGUGCUCGAGUGGCGAACGGGUGAGUAACACGUGAGUAACCUGCCCUUGACUUUAGGAUAACUUCAGGAAACUGGGGCUAAUACCGGAUAGGAGCUCCUGCUGCAUGGUGGGGGUUGGAAAGUUUCGGCGGUUGGGGAUGGAUUCGCGGCUUAUCAGCUUGUUGGUGGGGUAGUGGUUUACCAAGGCUUUGACGGGUAGCCGGCCUGAGAGGGUGACCGGCCACAUUGGGACUGAGAUACGGCCCAGACGCCUACGGGAGGCAGCAGUGGGGAAUAUUGCACAAUGGGCGGAAGCCUGAUGCAGCAACGUCGCGUGCGGGAUGACGGCCUUCGGGUUGUAAACCGCUUUCGCCUGUGACGAAGCGUGAGUGACGGUAAUGGGUAAAGAAGCACCGGCUAACUACGUG
RNAcentral lists this ribosomal RNA (468 nucleotides) under uncultured bacterium. Its description in RNAcentral is "partial 16S ribosomal RNA". It matches the Rfam family "Bacterial small subunit ribosomal RNA", at positions 28 to 507 of the family's 1533-position model. The record is from RNAcentral.